UUUAAUGGCCGCAGUAUUUUGACUGUGCAAAGGUAGCAUAAUCAUUAGUUUCUUAAUUAGAAGCUGGAAUGAAAGGUUGAACGAGAAAAUUUCUGUCUCUUUAUAAUUUUAUUAUAAUUUUAUAUUUUAGUUAGAAAGCUGAAAUGAUUUUGAAAGACGAGAAGACCCUAUAGAGUUUUAUUUUAAAAAUUAAUUAAUUUAAAUUUAUAAUUUAUUUUAUUAGUUUUUUGUAAAAAUUUUAUUGGGGUGAUAAAAAAAAUUAAAAAACUUUUUUUUUAUAUUAACAUUUAUUUAUGAUUAUUUGAUCCAUGUAUUAUGAUUAAAAGAUUAAAUUACCUUAGGGAUAACAGCGUAAUUUCAUUAGAGAGUUCAAAUCGAUAGUGAAGAUUGCGACCUCGAUGUUGGAUUAAAAUAAAUUAUUGGUGUAGAAGCUAAUAUAUUAGGUCUGUUCGACCUUUAAAAUUUUACAUGAUCUGAGUUUAAACCGGUGUGAGCCAGGUUGGUUUCUAUCUUUAAAAUAAGCAAAUAUUUUAGUACGAAAGGACCAAAUAUUUAUAAUAAUUAUUAAUUUGGGAUAAUAUUA
RNAcentral lists this ribosomal RNA (583 nucleotides) under Pronomaeini gen. sp. 1 ZMUN 10029218. RNAcentral's name for it is "partial 16S ribosomal RNA". It matches the Rfam family "Bacterial large subunit ribosomal RNA", at positions 1923 to 2731 of the family's 2925-position model. The record is from RNAcentral. Lineage: Eukaryota; Metazoa; Arthropoda; Insecta; Coleoptera; Staphylinidae.